Molecule: ribosomal RNA, 459 nt
Filed under: uncultured bacterium
Lineage: Bacteria
Description: partial 16S ribosomal RNA
Rfam family: Bacterial small subunit ribosomal RNA
Source: RNAcentral
CCUACGGGAGGCAGCAGUGAGGACUAUUGGUCAAUGGGCGGGAGCCUGAACCAGCCAAGCCGCGUGAGGGAAGAAGGUACAGCGUAUCGUAAACCUCUUUUGUCAGGGAACAAAGGCGGGGACUAGUCCCCGGAUGAGGGUACCUGAAGAAAAAGCAUCGGCUAACUCCGUGCCAGCAGCCGCGGUAAUACGGAGGAUGCGAGCGUUAUCCGGAUUUAUGGGGUUUAAAGGGUGCGCAGGCGGCCUGUUAAGUCAGCGGUAAAAGCCCGGGGCUCAACCCCGGCCAGCCGUUGACACUGGCGGGCUGGAGUUGGAGAGAAGUACGCGGAAUGCGCGGUGUAGCGGUGAAAUGCUUAGAUAUCGCGCAGAACCCCGAUUGCGAAGGCAGCGUACCGGCUCCACACUGACGCUGAGGCACGAAAGCGUGGGUAUCGAACAGGAUUAGAUACCCGGGUAGUC